AUGCAGUCGUACGCUUCUUUUUCCACCGGAGCUUGCUCCACCGGAAAAAGAAGAGUGGCGAACGGGUGAGUAACACGUGGGUAACCUGCCCAUCAGAAGGGGAUAACACUUGGAAACAGGUGCUAAUACCGUAUAACAAUCGAAACCGCAUGGUUUUGAUUUGAAAGGCGCUUUCGGGUGUCGCUGAUGGAUGGACCCGCGGUGCAUUAGCUAGUUGGUGAGGUAACGGCUCACCAAGGCCACGAUGCAUAGCCGACCUGAGAGGGUGAUCGGCCACAUUGGGACUGAGACACGGCCCAAACUCCUACGGGAGGCAGCAGUAGGGAAUCUUCGGCAAUGGACGAAAGUCUGACCGAGCAACGCCGCGUGAGUGAAGAAGGUUUUCGGAUCGUAAAACUCUGUUGUUAGAGAAGAACAAGGAUGAGAGUAACUGUUCAUCCCUUGACGGUAUCUAACCAGAAAGCCACGGCUAACUACGUGCCAGCAGCCGCGGUAAUACGUAGGUGGCAAGCGUUGUCCGGAUUUAUUGGGCGUAAAGCGAGCGCAGGCGGUUUCUUAAGUCUGAUGUGAAAGCCCCCGGCUCAACCGGGGAGGGUCAUUGGAAACUGGGAGACUUGAGUGCAGAAGAGGAGAGUGGAAUUCCAUGUGUAGCGGUGAAAUGCGUAGAUAUAUGGAGGAACACCAGUGGCGAAGGCGGCUCUCUGGUCUGUAACUGACGCUGAGGCUCGAAAGCGUGGGGAGCAAACAGGAUUAGAUACCCUGGUAGUCCACGCCGUAAACGAUGAGUGCUAAGUGUUGGAGGGUUUCCGCCCUUCAGUGCUGCAGCUAACGCAUUAAGCACUCCGCCUGGGGAGUACGACCGCAAGGUUGAAACUCAAAGGAAUUGACGGGGGCCC
RNAcentral lists this ribosomal RNA (896 nucleotides) under Enterococcus sp. RNAcentral describes it as "bacterial SSU rRNA". It matches the Rfam family "Bacterial small subunit ribosomal RNA", at positions 55 to 922 of the family's 1533-position model. Lineage: Bacteria; Bacillati; Bacillota; Bacilli; Lactobacillales; Enterococcaceae. The record is from RNAcentral.